This 232-nucleotide ribosomal RNA is filed under the name uncultured bacterium. RNAcentral's name for it is "partial 16S ribosomal RNA". It matches the Rfam family "Bacterial small subunit ribosomal RNA", at positions 29 to 264 of the family's 1533-position model. The record is from RNAcentral.
AUUAACGCUGGCGGCGUGCAUGAGACAUGCAAGUCGAACGGACGGGCGAGCCUGCUCGCCCGUUUGUGGCGGACGGCUGAGUAACGCGUGGGUGACCUGCCCCGAAGUGGGGAAUAACUGCCCGAAAGGGUGGCUAAUACCGCAUGUGGUGACUGGUUCGUUCCAGUCUCCAAAGCCGCAAGGCGCUUCGGGAGGGGCCUGCGUCCGAUUAGCUCGUUGGUGGGGUAACGGC